UCUCUUUCUCUUUCUCUUUCUCUUUCUCUCUUUCUCUGCAACUCUCUUCUUUGAUGUGAUUCUCCACCAUAUCUCUAAGAACCCAUCAACCUUUACAAAAAGAUAGAAAUCUCAUUAACCACCAUGGUUUUCUCAUCCAUUCCUGUCUAUCUUGAUCCACCCAACUGGCAACAGCAACCUGCAGGAGGCAACAGUGAGAACUCGCAGCUCCAACUACCGCCGCUACCUAGUUUUGGUGGCGGCGGUGGCGGUAGUGGCGCUGGCUCAAUCAGACCUGGUUCGAUGGCGGAGCGAGCUCGAAUGGCUAAGAUUCCUCAACCUGAAACAGCCCUAAAAUGUCCAAGAUGUGAUUCUACAAACACUAAAUUUUGUUACUUCAAUAACUACAGCCUUUCACAGCCUCGCCACUUUUGCAAGACCUGUCGCCGAUACUGGACUAGAGGUGGUGCACUAAGAAACGUACCAGUCGGAGGUGGCUGUAGAAGAAACAAAAGAAGCAAAGGAAGCAGAUCGAAAUCACCUGCUGUAGCCGACGGUCAAACCGGGUCAACCUCAUCUAGUACACUUGCUUCUACUCGUUGCACAACUGAUAUCAUCGGCCACAUGCCACCUCCGCCCUCACAAUUACCAAUUUUGCCCCCUUUACAUCAUCUUAGUGGCUACAAUUCGGGGGGUAUUGGUUUGAAUUUUGGGGGAAUUCAAUCUCCUGGGGUGCCAACUGCUAUUGGCGGUGGUAAUAGUGGCAAUAAUGAUGUUGAAUUUCAGGUUGGUGGUGCUUCAGGUGGUGUUAGUGGUGGUGCUGGUGGUUCUUCUUUAUUUUCAAGUGCGCUUUUUGAGCAGUGGAGAUUGCAACAGGUGCAACAAUAUCCUUUCAUGACUGGCAUGGAACCAACGACUGGUUUGUAUCAGUUCGAGAGUGAGGGUACGGUGGCGCCUAGUAGUUAUGUUGCUCAGCUUCGGUCAAAGCCAAUGGAUUCUGGGGUUACUCAGUCGGCAAAUGUGAAAAUGGAACAAAAUCAAGGGCUAAAUUUAUCACGAAAUUUUUUGGGUAUAUCAGGAAAUGAUCAAUAUUGGAAUACUAGCAAUGCAUGGACAGAUCUCUCUGGAUUCACUUCAUCUUCCACCAGCCAUCUCUUAUGAUAUUUUUUAAUCUCAAUAGUCCUCUCUUAAAAAGAAACCCCACUCUUGCUUUGUGAUUAAUUAUUAUAUUUCUUCUUUUCCUUUGGACUAUAAGAGGUUCCAAAAACGAGAAAUCAGUUUCUGAUCACAAAACUUUGAAACGAGAAGGCCCUAAGUCUCAAGAUCAAACCACUAAAGAUCGUAAGAAGUUGACAUGGAAAUUAUGGAUAUCGCUGAAAGAAAUUUAGAACGCAUUUUCAGAGAAGAGCUCAUGUAGUCAUGUCAUUUCAUAUCAAAGCCUCUGCAAAACAAAAAAAGAGAGUUCAGUCUUCAUUUUUGUACAAAAUCAGAGUGUGUGUGUUGAGUUGGACAAGAAGUCGCAGCUAAAGAAACGCCAAAAUGCCACUAAAAACCAUGCAAAAGAAGGCAUGUCGUUGGAUUCUCCAAGUUUUGUUGUUUGCAAAUUCCAAACGUAAGACCACAUCAACACAAGAGUCAAAAGUUUCACUAGAAGAACAAAAUUCUCAGACUUUCUUAACCUUUUGUUUGAUUUCGGUUCCCUCCUUUAUAUAUAUAUAAUCGCAAAAUUUUCAACCCAUUUAUUCAUAUUUGUGAUCAUGAUGUCACUGUAAUACUUCUUUUUGGUUAAUUGCUUAUUAAAUGAGAGAUUG
Molecule: RNA transcript, 1790 nt
Organism: Pistacia vera
Lineage: Eukaryota; Viridiplantae; Streptophyta; Magnoliopsida; Sapindales; Anacardiaceae
Gene name: dof zinc finger protein DOF3.6
Exons: 4
Source: RefSeq, a predicted model, not a curated record